GUAAUACUGUAUAAUCCCUGCGGGGGAAAGAUUUAUCGCUAUUAGAUGAGCCUACGUUAGAUUAGCUAGUUGGUAAGGUAAUGGCUUACCAAGGCUGUGAUCUAUAGCUGGUCUGAGAGGACGAUCAGCCACACUGGAACUGAGAUACGGUCCAGACUCCUACGGGAGGCAGCAGUGGGGAAUAUUGGACAAUGGGCGAAAGCCUGAUCCAGCUAUGCCGCGUGAGUGAAGAAGG
Molecule: ribosomal RNA, 235 nt
Filed under: Ehrlichia sp.
Lineage: Bacteria; Pseudomonadati; Pseudomonadota; Alphaproteobacteria; Rickettsiales; Anaplasmataceae
Description: partial 16S ribosomal RNA
Rfam family: Bacterial small subunit ribosomal RNA
Source: RNAcentral